UGGUGGAGUGAUUUGUCUGGUUUAUUCCGAUAACGAACGAGACUCUGGCCUACUAACUAGCGCAUGAAUACUCUUUGUUUGUUGCGCUUCUUAGAGGGACAAGCAGUGCUCAGCUGCGUGAGAAAGAGCAAUAACA
This 136-nucleotide ribosomal RNA is filed under the name uncultured eukaryote. RNAcentral's name for it is "partial 18S ribosomal RNA". It matches the Rfam family "Eukaryotic small subunit ribosomal RNA", at positions 1299 to 1458 of the family's 1831-position model. The record is from RNAcentral.